Long non-coding RNA from Bos taurus (domestic cattle), 1100 nucleotides. The record is from Ensembl. Lineage: Eukaryota; Metazoa; Chordata; Mammalia; Artiodactyla; Bovidae.
GUUUUACCUGUCUUGAAUUCAUGGAGCAUUUUCAAAUGGUGCCAUCCCGGCAGGUGUGACCGCGCUUUUGCGGAGCCUCGGUGCUGUUUUACCUGCUUGAGUCUGUCAGAAACCCAUUUGUAUGCGCCCGGCUAAUGUGCUAGAAAUAAAAGCCCCAAACUGUCAAGUAAACUGCACCUGUACGAAGCAGUUAAAUGGUUCCAUCUGCUAUUAUCCCGGGAGAUCAAAGGCCAUCCCCGGGAGGGGUGCCCAAGGACCAAAGCAAAGGGUAGAGCGCCUUGUCUUGGAGUUUAAAAAGAAGAGGACAACGAAGAGGAGAGCGGUGAGGGGGGUGAAAACCGGGGAGAAAAAGAUCCUGAGGCUCGGGCCGGGCUGGACUACCUGAAGGAGCUUUUGUCUGAUCCAGGCGCGCUGGGAGCACAUUCUUUCACAUUAAGAACCGCAGGGGAAGACAUUCAUUCACUCCCCUUUUUUUGGUGACGUAGCUGGGGCAUUCAUGUGUUUUUAACCUUGAAUAAUUUUUGUCUCUAAGCUCCAAACAAGUUUUAUCCUGUCCACAGGUCAGUUUUGUUACAGAGGCCAAUUAGCAGUGCUACCUUCGCCUGCGGCAAAAAGCCAAGUAAUGGCGGGGCAAGCCCUCCGGAGAGGUGAUGAAUAACUCUGGAGAGCUGUAAUUUGAAAGGGGGGCCUUUGAAGCAUUUACCUUACAUGGGACGCUAUUGUCACUGCAGGGUGUUUGAUCUUAAAAUAAUUUACUUAAUGAUCUCACCAUGGGAGCAAUUGGCAGAGCAAGAUUAGGCUGUAAGGCCUAAUGGACAUGGGAAAAGUUAAAAUUGCUCGGAGAAAGAUAUCAAGACUGCUGGGAGAAAUAUCAAAAAUCUCAGAUAUGCAGAUAACACCACCCUUAGGGCAGAAAUUGAAGAAGAACUAAAGAGCCUCUUGAUGAAAGUGAAAGAGGAGAGUGAAAAAGUUGGCUUAAAGCUCAACAUUCAGAAAACAAAGAUUAUGGCAUCUGGUCCCAUCACUUCAUGGCAAAUAGAUGGAGAAACAGUGGAAACAGUGGCAGACUAUUUUUUGGGCUCCUAAAUCACUGCAGAUGG